AGUAGUUGGGAUUACAGGCACGCACCACCCAGCCCGGCUAAUUUUUUUGUAUUUUUAGUAGAGAUGGGAUUUCGCCAUGGUCUUGAACUCCUGAUCUCAGGUGAUCCCUCUGCCUCGGCCUCCCAAGUGCUGGGAUUACAGGCGUGAGCCACCGUACCCGGCCUUGAACCAAGGUUUCUAAGAUGCUCUUAGCCUCCUUGGAUCUGGCCUAGCACACCUUUCCAUCUUAUCUUUUCUGCACAACCGCCCACAGCUAGCCCAGCCUACGCCUCAGCCAGUCUGGCUCCCUGACGAUGCAGAGCCGGCACCGGCUGCAGAAGCCAGGCCCAGUCCUGUCCAGGGCCCCCUGGCCGCAGACAAACGCUACAGACACGGCUGGUAGCACAUGGUUCUCUUUAUUGUGAUGCUCAGUGGAAAACAUCCGUAAACCAGCUUACUGUAGUGGUGACAGCCGCAACACAUGCUAAGGCACUUUUAUUAUAUAAAAAAGGGGUGGGGUGAGAGUUUCACUCACUCCUUUGUGACAGCAACUGGGACCUGAAUUCAGAGCUUUGUAGGCAUUACGCAGCUUUUAUAUCGCUUCGUGAUUUAAGAGUUUGUUUCCUUUAAAAAAAAAAAAAAAAUGCCUUCUUUGCCGUAAGUCUCAAUGCAGCAUAUACAAAACAGUUAGGAAUACAAGUAAAUUCGGCAACCAGUGUAGACCAGUGAGGACGAGCUAACUCUCUUAUAAACAAAGGCAGUGAGAAAGACUCGGAAUUUUAUCAUUUAUUAC
Molecule: long non-coding RNA, 772 nt
Organism: Mandrillus leucophaeus (drill)
Lineage: Eukaryota; Metazoa; Chordata; Mammalia; Primates; Cercopithecidae
Exons: 3
Source: RefSeq, a predicted model, not a curated record